AAGUCGUAACAAGGUUUCCGUAGGUGAACCUGCGGAAGGAUCAUUAUUGAAUGAACUUGGUAUGAUUGUUGCUGAUCCUUCUGGGAUAUGUGCACAUCUGCCAUCUUUAUCUCUCCACCUGUGCACACUUUGUAGGUCUAGAAUAACUCUCUGAGGCAACUCAGAUGUGAGAACUGCUACUGCGAGGUAGCUGUUCUUGUGUUUCUAGAUCUAUGUUUUCAUAUACACCAUAAGAAUGUAACAGAAUGUAUUAAUGGGUCUUGUACCUAUAAACUAUAUACAACUUUCAGCAACGGAUCUCUUGGCUCUC
Molecule: unclassified non-coding RNA, 310 nt
Filed under: air metagenome
Description: partial contains small subunit ribosomal RNA, internal transcribed spacer 1, and 5.8S ribosomal RNA
Rfam family: Eukaryotic small subunit ribosomal RNA (bases 1-46)
Source: RNAcentral